RNAcentral lists this long non-coding RNA (1508 nucleotides) under Malus domestica (apple). RNAcentral's name for it is "long non-coding RNA (MDOM_LNC005796)". Lineage: Eukaryota; Viridiplantae; Streptophyta; Magnoliopsida; Rosales; Rosaceae. The record is from RNAcentral.
UUGGAAGAUCUUCUAAUUGACAAUCAUAUUGUUUUUUAGAAGUAUAUAUCCUAUAUAUAUGGGUAAUUGAUAAUAUCCAACGAACUAAAUCUUAUUCAAGUUCGUUCUUCUCCUAAUGGAGAAAUCCAUUAUCUUAUGAUGCUUCUUUCCUUGAUAUCUUUCAAGAAAACUAUUCUAAAGUGUUACCAAUCCUUGGAUCAAAUCUGAGGAUGUAAAUACUUUAGACGUCUUACUCAUCAACUUACAUUUCUUGAAUUCUUUGAAACAUUUUGCAAAGUAUUCGGACUUGUGUUUAUUCAAAAAUAAACUAUAGUCCAACCGAGAGUGAUCUUCGGUGAAUGUUAUCCAACAUGAGUAGUAUUAUGUUUGUGGACAAGUGCCACUAACAUCUAAGUGAAUUAACCUUAACAACUUUGUGAUUCUUUCUUCUUUCCAAAAGAAUAAAGAUUCGAACAUUUCGCCUCUAUACAAUUUUAACAAGAAGGUAUUGGAUCCGGAUCUAACAAUCCAAAGCAUCCAUCUUUCACCAACUCAUAAUUUAUGUUUUAGAGGUAUCACAACUUUAGUUGGGAUUAGUCACUACCUUGCAACCUUUUUGGGUUUUAAGCAUCGUUGUUUUCUAAACAGUUUAACACUACCAUAUCAUCUCUACUAUAGAGACAAUCAAUUAGAUUACUAUAAUCCAAUCAUUGAUUAAUAAAGAACAAUGUUUUGUCAAACAAAACAUUCAUCCAUCUCUACUAUAGUGACGGAAUUAAAUUCCUUAAAAUUGGAAUGAAAAGACAAUCUUUGGUUUUUCCAAUUUCUUUGGUAGUUCAUAUGAGGAAGUAAGUACCAUCUGCUUUCGCAGAAAUCUAUAUUUUAUUCACUUUCCGAAUGUGAAGUACUUUCUCUUCUCUCUCAUUAAUCUUCUACUUUCUUAUUAGCCACACUUUUACAACGAUUGUAAAACAUAGUUACUAAUACGGAAUCAAACAUUCAAGUAGAAGAACCAACUGUUUUGAACUAUUCAAGAACAAUUUACAACACCUUCGAAAGGUGUGUUCUUGACACUUGCAAGACAUUUUUUGCAAAUACCCCUUCCAAUGUCCAUUUCAUAAAGAAAGUUUGUUCCCUUGGAGUUAAUUUUAUCUUCUUCAUUUGACUUCUCCUUUGACUACAAUAGUCAUGGUCCCUAAACUCCCACUAUCUCUCUUGAAACUUAUUUCAAUUGUGUUAUACACAUCAAACAUUUUUGGAGAGCAUGUGGUUAUUGUUCACUACAUAGUUUACAAUAAACUUAGUGAACUAUAAGGAUAGGGACACAAAGGUGAAGUCCUUGCCUAGUUUCCGUCUCAUUAAGUGGUUUAUCACUUCAACACUUAAUGAUUCAAAAUCAUUAUAAGUCCAUGUUAAUGGACUAUUUUUGUCAACCAACCAUUAUGUUCUAAACAUAACUACAAACUUUCAAGAGUUGUACAAGGCAACUCUCAUUUCUUCAUACAACAAUUUGUAAGUGAAGAAUCAUG